RNAcentral lists this long non-coding RNA (1902 nucleotides) under Equus caballus (horse). RNAcentral's name for it is "lncRNA (ENSECAG00000050242.1)". The record is from RNAcentral. Lineage: Eukaryota; Metazoa; Chordata; Mammalia; Perissodactyla; Equidae.
AUGUGACCAGCCAUGGAGUGGACUCUAAAUCAGACACCAGGUACUUAACAUGAAUCUUCAUGUUUACUUUAAAUAUGUGAUCACCUGCUUCAUAAUGACCCUCUACUUCAGGUAGAGAACAUCAUCAUUACCCAGCAACUACGUGAACAUUCUAGUAUUUUAAUUCUCAGAGUAUGACGAAGGGUCAUCACCAUGGCUAGAGAGAUACGUGAAAACUGAGGGAAAUCGAUUUCCUCCGUUAACUUUUUGCCCUGGCAGUGGCCUGAUUCAGAAAAGGUGGUAGAUUUUGAGUCAAACUUGAAUGAGUAAGAGUUUGCCAGGAAGUCCAAAAGAAGAGGAUUCUAGGCAGAAGAAACACAAGGAGGCAUAAUCAUUAAGGAUUUCUUGAGAACUACAGAAAAUUCAAUGUGAUAGAAUAUGGAGGUGACGGAGAUGGUAGAAGGGGGAUUUGGAGAGGAAAAAAAGGGGCUGUGUCCUGAUCACCUCCUAUUCACCCUGUUGGCGAAGAAGGGAUCCUCUGCCUGAAUAAUAUGAGAUGGCCGAACACAUGACACUCAACACUGGACAAAUGAGGUUGGUAGCAGGUUACUAGUCACAUAUACCCGCUACCUGGAAGAGGAGGACACUGCAUGCCAUGUGGAGCCACACAGGGGUUAGAUUCCCAAGCAGAGUGAACCAGCAGGGACAGUGGGAGCAAAUCUUUCAGAACGUAUCCAGAAUUUAACCACUUCCACCGACACUACCCAUGAUGCUUUAGCCACCGUCUUCCUGCUUCCCGGAAGAGAGAAAGAGAGAGAAGAAAAAGUCCACAUUCAGAUUUUUGCAGGAUAGAAGAAUCUUUUUGCUAAUAAUCUCCACAUUAAAGAUGAUUGCAAAAUUCAAAAAAAAAUGUAUUUGAGAAAUUCAGCCCAUUUUUAUUAAACUGCUACUAUUUGCCAGAUGUUAUUCUGUGACCAGGGAAAGAAAGACUAUGUAAAAGGCCUCAUUCUGUGCUCCAGAAGCUGCUAAUUUACUAGUCAAGAAAAGCCAAGACCUUUCAUAAGUGAGCCAGGAGGGCCAACGCGCCCAGUGAGUGUAGGAUUUAAGAAAAUCAAGGAAACGCCUCAUGUGUGGACUGCUGACAUUAUCUUCAAACAAGGUGCCUGAGGUCACACAGAUUCACUGACAAGCCUGAAAGAAGCAAUCCAAAAUAUAACUUUAGAUCUGUAUCACGUUAUUAGGCCAAGCACUUUACAGAACAUUAUAAAUUCUAUAAACACCUCGUCCAUAGAAUGAUUUUAAUGCAACAUGUUUUGUGUUGACUCAUCUGUUAAAUUUAAAAAUUGUGAACAGUCACUAUUUUUGUAGUCCUACUGUAGUGUUUGUUUCUUAAGAUGUGGAAGCCUCAAAUAAUAGUAAUGGCCCUGGAGCUCUCUAAACCCCUGAGAAACACCGAGAAAAGCAUUCCUUUCUUCGUUAGAGACAUACUGUCAAAAGUGCUCAAACGUCAUAUUAUAACCAUCAGAGAAAGUACUAGAAGAGCUUGGGAAGGGGGAAAUUGUUAUGCCUGGGGGCCUGCAGAUAUCCACGCAGGAUGGAGAGAAAGAUAUUCGUAGAGACGCUGCCUUUAGGAAGACUGCCUUCCUGGGUGCGGUUUCCGUGACGACAGUCCGGGCCGACAUCCCAAGUACCUCGGGUCUGAAGAUGGUGAAUGUGGUGAGUAUUAAUAGGGAAGAAACUCUGAGUUAGCCUAUUAAAAAAUAUCCGUCCGUGCAGACAAUAUGCAAUAUUUUGCCAUAUUUUAGGUGCCAUAAACUCCAGGUUUUCUGCUCGGGAGUCGUAGAGUGAACGACUUUUCUCUCCAUGGAGUCCCUAUAUACUCCAGGACCGAAAUCAUUGUCAGUCCCUACCCUUCCUAAGGGC